UGCUUUUUCUUUUGAGAGCCAUAUGAACAUGCCAAUGGUAGGAUACGAAUCUUGUAUAAAUGACUAAGACCGACUAAGGCUAAUUUGAGGGGUGGUCGGAGGGGUCCUGAUCCCGAAAUCCCGGUCUUAAAAACAUGAAAUCCCGAGAUGCAGAAUUUAAAGAAAUUCAUAUCCCGAAAUACCAAAAUCGAAAAAUAUAUUCCCGGAUCCCGUAUUGAUCAAUCUCCAGAUCCCGAGCUUAAAAACACCCGAUCCCGAAGUCCCGAAAAAGGUCUUGUCUCCUUCUAGUCUCUACUCUACUUUCAUUUUUGCCAAAUCACUACUUUCACUUUCAACAAUAAAUUUGUAUGCCCC
RNAcentral lists this long non-coding RNA (354 nucleotides) under Mytilus galloprovincialis (Mediterranean mussel). The record is from RNAcentral. Lineage: Eukaryota; Metazoa; Mollusca; Bivalvia; Mytilida; Mytilidae.